ACAAUGGUGUCUUUAGACACCACCUCUUCUUGGCAUGUAUAACUCAU
Non-coding RNA from Picea glauca (white spruce), 47 nucleotides. The record is from Rfam. NCBI's taxonomy places the organism in Eukaryota, Viridiplantae, Streptophyta, Pinopsida, Pinales, Pinaceae.